Molecule: ribosomal RNA, 253 nt
Filed under: uncultured bacterium
Lineage: Bacteria
Description: partial 16S ribosomal RNA
Rfam family: Bacterial small subunit ribosomal RNA
Source: RNAcentral
UACAGAGGGUGCGAGCGUUGUCCGGAAUCACUGGGCGUAAAGAGCGUGUAGGCGGUCCGGUAAGUCCGCUGUGAAAGUCGGGGGCUCAACCCUCGAAUGCCGGUGGAUACUGUCGGGCUAGAGUGCGGAAGAGGCGAGUGGAAUUCCUGGUGUAGCGGUGAAAUGCGCAGAUAUCAGGAGGAACACCUAUUGCGAAGGCAGCUCGCUGGGACGUAACUGACGCUGAGACGCGAAAGCGUGGGGAGCAAACAGG